CUUAGUGGCGGACGGGUGAGUAACGCGUGGGGAACCUGCCCUGUACAGGGGGAUAACACUUAGAAAUAGGUGCUAAUACCGCAUAAGCGCACAGUAUCGCAUGAUACAGUGUGAAAAACUCCGGUGGUACAGGAUGGACCCGCGUCUGAUUAGCUGGUUGGCGGGGUAACGGCCCACCAAGGCGACGAUCAGUAGCCGGCCUGAGAGGGUGAACGGUCACAUUGGGACUGAGACACGGCCCAAACUCCUACGGGAGGCAGCAG
Molecule: ribosomal RNA, 263 nt
Filed under: uncultured bacterium
Lineage: Bacteria
Description: partial 16S ribosomal RNA
Rfam family: Bacterial small subunit ribosomal RNA
Source: RNAcentral